Molecule: long non-coding RNA, 1835 nt
Organism: Homo sapiens (human)
Lineage: Eukaryota; Metazoa; Chordata; Mammalia; Primates; Hominidae
Source: Ensembl
GAGCUUAGUAAUAGUCACCGGCAGGCAGAAUUCCUUAAAUAUUUGAAUUCUGCUGUAUCUUAGGCUCUCAUGUCUUCAAAUCUAUAACCCUUAGGCUCCAAUUUAAUACCUUGGGAGGACAGCCUGGCUCUCUGUUCCUCUGCACAGCUACCCAGCUUAAGUUAUAAAACAGGGCAACAGAGGUCUAUAAUGUUCCUUUCAACUGCCACUUAGCCCCCAAUCAAGGAUUGAUUUGUAAGUCAAUCCUUUCAUCAAUUCUCAGUGAGCAACAAUCUAAUGUUAUCCUUGCUCCUAUUUCUUAACUAGCCCCUAUAACUUCCUGUCACUUGCUCCAAACUAAAACAUUACAAGAUUCACCACUGUGUGUGAUUCUCAGCUAUUCACCUUCUCUUAGCAAUUUUCCCUUGGUUUGGUAAUGAUGAGACACCAACAAUAAAUAUUUGCAGAGGAAGUUCAGAUUCAAAAAUUCAUCUUUCUCUGAUGAAGUAAGGUAAAGGUACCACUGCCAACUGACUGAAAAUUUUGAAAAAAGACAAAGUCUGGGGCAAUUUGACAGCCCAUAAAUGAAUCAUCUUCUACAUAGUUUUAAAAAACUAUAACUAAAACUAUAGUUUUAAAAAAACUGUAUAACUAAAAGGUCUUUUACUGGGAUUGGAAUUUUGUGCAUCUAUUUGGCUGGACAUAGUAUGGACACUGGGCCUUCUAAACCAAGGUUUCAUGGAAAGAAUUAACCCCUAAUUCCUUAGGCAUCUCUUGUAUGUAAUAAAUUACCUAGUAUCAUUCAAGAAAUAUGUAUAGAGAAAAGUCAGGUGCCCUCCAGAAGAGUCCCUCAAAUCAUUUUCUAUGUUCUGUGAUUUCAGACGAGAAACCCCAGCUGAGGAGGCAAAUAUACUCAAGGAAAGUAAUAGUUUCCAAAUGCCUGGCAGUGCCAGGAAGGGGCCAUGUCCAUGGACCACUAUGUAAGGAUAUCUCAGUCUCUAGUCCAGCGUGGUUUAUGGUGCCAAAUAAGUGCCAGGUGAACUCACUACAUCUGACAAAAUCUCAAGGAACCAAGUUUACCAGAUAAUAUUUAUGAUUAUGUGAAAAAGACUGAGGAAAUCACUCAAGUGAUCCAUCAUACAGCACCUCCAGUUCCAAAGAAUACUGACUUACUUCAGCUGUACUGGUCUGGAGCUGCACAUUCUUUUCAGACAACUCUUGUUCCAGCUAGAGUGCAAUGGUGCAACCUCAGCUCACUGCAACCUCCGCUUCCCAGGUUCAAGCGAUUCUCCUGCUUCAGCCUCCCUGGUUGCUGGGAUUACAGGUGACUCUUCUCCUGUAACAGAGCCUCCUUCUUAGAAACUAUGGCCUCCCGUUUCUUUAAGUCUGCUUCCAGCUCCUCUAAUUCUUGGCGUUGGUUCAGAACUUUCUCUACUUCUUCAUCUAACCAUUUCUUUUGCUCAUCCAAUUUCUACAUUAAAAUUAAAAAAAAAGUUACUUGUUUUUCCUUCUGCCAUAAAAAUUAUAUGGUAAUAAUAGAAUUUCAGAUUGGCUGAAAUCUCUUAAAUGAACAUUUAAAAACUAUCACUCAGAGUAACUCAGGUAGCCGUCUGAGAUCCUAAAGACAUCAGUGGUUCUAGUCAAGAUGUAGCUAUGUUGUUUUAUAAAGAAUUAAAAUUUACUCCCCAGAUAUGUUAAACAGUCUAGGAUUUUUUAGCCUGACGAAGAAAGGGCUGAUAAUUUUCUAUGCCUAUAUUAAGAACAUGCUGGAAUCUUUUACUCUGUUGUAGUGGUGCACAGUUCCAUCACAGCACUUACACUGGUGGCUGCCCUACGUAUCUAUCUCCCCAGCUUGA